This 276-nucleotide long non-coding RNA is filed under the name Capsicum annuum. Its description in RNAcentral is "long non-coding RNA (CANN_LNC017102)". Lineage: Eukaryota; Viridiplantae; Streptophyta; Magnoliopsida; Solanales; Solanaceae. The record is from RNAcentral.
UAGACAUGAGUCCACUUAACACAUUACAAUCACACGGACAUGAAAGUAAUAAAGGAGAGAGGUUGUGGGAUGCUGCCCGUGCCCCAUUUUGUAUAAAUCAAAAUUAGAUUAGACCUCUAAGAUAACCAUUCACCUUACGUCUUCAAAGGAUAACAUCUAAAAUCUUUACAUUUUUUUUCUUUUCAGAAUCAAUCAAACUUCCAUCAAGUUUUUUUUCUUUAGACAAAGCUCGAGACAAAAUAUAUCUUCAAAGUGGAAUAGCUAAACAACUACACC